This is a long non-coding RNA of Episyrphus balteatus (marmalade hoverfly), 1803 nucleotides long. RefSeq lists it as uncharacterized. The transcript is spliced from 8 exons. The record is from RefSeq and is a predicted model, not a curated record. NCBI's taxonomy places the organism in Eukaryota, Metazoa, Arthropoda, Insecta, Diptera, Syrphidae.
AACCUCACAACAAACUCACCAUAGAAGAGGUGAGUUUUAAGACAGCCAGCUGAUUUGUCAAAACAAAUCAAGUAAAAACAAAACAAUGUGCAUAAUAUUUUGUAUGAUUCGAAUUUAACAAAUAAAAACAAUUGAAAAUGGCUAAAAAAAAGAUGGCAUUUAUCGACUGAAAGAAGUCAUUUUCCAUCUAAUACACAGAUUCAAAAGACGAUCGUCUGGUCACCGAUGAUAAUGCUCCUCUGCGUGUUCUACUAGAAGCUGCACCAUCCAAAAAUGGUCACGCUGGACUACAAACACUUGAAUCCUCUGAUUUGCUGACACUGAAAACUCCAGGCGAAACCUUUCACAAAUCGGACUUAACCCACACAUGCCAUUUCCAAUUCUUAUUGAACACAUACAUACGUUGGAGUGCUCAAAUGGCGUAACACCAUCCAAAAUGAUUCAGUUAACUCUUGGCCAUCGGAAAAUGGAGGUGGUAGUUGCUACGUGAACGUUGAACACUAGGCACAGCGCUUGGAAUUGCAAGAUUUCUGCAUUGAUAUUCCUCUAUCGUUGAACCGUUUGUUAGCGAGUUUAAUGGAACAUUCAAGAAAGCAAGUUUUCCAAUGGCUCAUCUCAAUCAUUGAUGGUUGAAACAAGCCAGGAUCGAUAAAAUUCAGUUGUGCGUCAGGAGACUUUUUCCCUUUACAAGUAAAUGAGAAGAAAAACAAUCACUGCAACUCUAUUAACUAAAUCAUAGAGAAGUCGUACACCAUUGAAAGAGUCUCGGUCGCAGCUCAUAUGGAAUUGCUUGAAGCUGUACAAUAUCUUUUCAGGCUUGGCCUACAUUGACAUGUUGUUGCUGAAACAGAUAUUAUCUCACAGACAGUGCUCUUUAUCUCGUUUGGUUUGUUAAAGAUGUGUAUUGCUCGAAUUGCUAAUCCAUGUCCAGAUCAAGCACAGGACAAUGCUAUUAAAGUCAUAUAAGUAUAAUUUUUUUUUUAACAUAUAAACAAGAAAAAAGUUCUCUAAAACAAAAACUCGUCAUCACAAUGAACCAACUUCUUAUGUUAGCCAAACAAAACGAAAGGAGUUAUACAUAAAUCUAUUUAAAUGCAGGAAGCAUAUGUGCUGAAACAGACAACGGAGUUCUGAAUGAAGAUUUCAUUGGUCAACUUAAAUGUGGAUACAAAACAUGCAGUAGAAGUGCAAUGCCCUAACACUCGACUGUUUGUCAAAGUUGGUAAUGGAUUGGUACAUCGCGAUGGAGAAAAAAAUGAAUGAGGAUAGGGCAAAUGAUUCAGGGUUAGCAGUUGUUGGAGACGAAACUGCUCCAGCUACUCAACAAUACCGGAUGAAGUUGAAUCGCAAGAGAAUCUUGAUUAACCUUUGGUUCAUAUCAGGUUUGCAAAAUCUCGGCCAAAAGUUCUCGGACAAUAGAUGUUUUCAAAUAGCUGCAUCUGUAGACUUCUUCAGGCAACAAAUGACCAAUGUUUUAAGAACUUGGAGCAAUAACAUACCCAGGCUGCACGGAGUUUUUGUCAAACAGAAGAUGACCAAAAGGCCCAAAGUAUUGGACUCUUUGGUGCGUGGAAUCCCAGACAAAUUCAAUCCGGAUUUCUUGAUUCUUGAAAUCAAAUACAAUAUCUAACUUUUUAAACUCCACCAAAUCAUUAUAUCGGGAUUGAACGGCGACUACGUUGGGUUUAUGGUGUCAUAUUGGUUUUGAGGUAGUUCUUUGCAUUUAGAAUGGGCAAAAGCUUUUUAAAGAACACAAGCAACAAACAUUAUUAUCCGGCUCUCGGUACAAAUUUCAAUUUCUUU